Molecule: ribosomal RNA, 1575 nt
Filed under: Heteropriapulus heterotylus
Lineage: Eukaryota; Metazoa; Platyhelminthes; Monogenea; Dactylogyridea; Dactylogyridae
Description: LSU rRNA
Rfam family: Eukaryotic large subunit ribosomal RNA
Source: RNAcentral
CAUAUCAGUAAGCGGAGGAAAAGAAACUAACCAGGAUUCUCCCAGUAACGGCGAGUGAACGGAGAUUAGCCCAGCACCGAAGCCUAUCUGCAUUUGUGGACAAGGCAAUGUGGUGUUUAGGCAUGCACCUUGGAGCCAUUCGUCUACUCGAAGUCCAACUCCGAUUAUGGCAUUGGAUGUGUCCCUUAGCGGGUGAUAGGCCCGUGCGAGUAGACUUGCCGUAUCAGAAUGGUUCCUUGCUGUGUGUGUCUUGGAGUCGGAUUGCUUGAGAAUGCAGUCCAAAGCGGGUGGUAAACUCCAUCCAAGGCUAAAUACUGGCACGAGUCCGAUAGUAAACAAGUACCGUGAGGGAAAGUUGAAAAGUACUCUGAAGAGAGAGUAAAUAGUACGUGAAGCCGCUUGUAGAGAAGCUGGUGGAGUCAAGCUCCAUGCCGGGAUGAUUAACAACGAGAGAGUGUGCAGUGUUCAGGCUCAUUGAGUUGGUGGAUCUGGAAACGGUCCGGUGGAUUCAUCUCCACUGUGAGCUAUCCGGUGAGUUGCCUUAUGCCAGCCAUGUGAGUCUCUCUCUUGUGUUCUAUCACUCGGCAGCCACCAUGGUUGAUGCCUUGUCUGGUGUGCGAUCGCUACACUGGCCUACGUGGGCUUAAUGCUUGCUGGGCUCAGGAUGGCGGGUGGUGUCCUGGCUUGCUAGCCAAGUCUGUGACACACGUAAUGGUAUAUCCUGCCGGCGAUCGUGUUGCAUGCUACUAUGCAUUCUGGUAUCAUUCUAUCAGCAGUCGUGUCCGCCUCAAAUGGUAGCGGCUGUGAGAAUCAUGGUGUUGGAGUAGAUUUUCCACCCGACCCGUCUUGAAACACGGACCAAGGAGUUUAACAUGUGCGCAAGUCAAUGGGCAUACUACGAAACCCAGAGGCGUAAUGAAAGUGAACGGUCACUUCUCGUGGCCUGAGGUGUGAUCCCGGUUGACCGACACAAAGGCUGCUGGGCGCAACACCGGCCCGUCUCAAGAUGUAGUCAUUGGGGCUACGGCUCUGGUGCAUCAUCGAGGCGGAGCAAGAGCGUACAUGUUGAGACCCGAAAGAUGGUGAACUAUGCUUGCGUAGGUCGAAGCCAGAGGAAACUCUGGUGGAGGACCGUCGCGGUUUUGACGUGCAAAUCGAUCGUCAAACGUGAGCAUAGGGGCGAAAGACUAAUCGAACCAUCUAGUAGCUGGUUCCCUCCGAAGUUUCCCUCAGGAUAGCUGGCAAUCGUCUCGCUGAACAGUUUUAUCCGAUAAAGCGAAUGAUUAGAGGUAUUGGGAACUAAUUGUUCUCAACCUAUUCUCAAACUAUAAAUGGGUACGAUGCUGCACUCGCUUAAUUGGAGUGUUGCAUUGAAUGUGAUUGCCAAGUGGGCCAUUUUUGGUAAGCAGAACUGGCGCUGUGGGAUGCUCCGAACGUUCAGUUAAGGUGCCCAAUGCGGACGCUCAUGAGACACCAAAAAAGGUGUUAAUGCAUUAAGACAGCAGGACGGUGGCCAUGAAAGUCGGAAUCCGCUAAGGAGUGUGUAACAACUCACCUGCCGAAUGCAUUAGCCCU